AAAUUGAAGAGUUUGAUCAUGGCUCAGAUUGAACGCUGGCGGCAGGCCUAACACAUGCAAGUCGAACGGUAACAGGAAACAGCUUGCUGAUUUGCUGACGAGUGGCGGACGGGUGAGUAAUGUCUGGGAAACUGCCUGAUGGAGGGGGAUAACUACUGGAAACGGUAGCUAAUACCGCAUAAUGUCGCAAGACCAAAGAGGGGGACCUUCGGGCCUCUUGCCAUCGGAUGUGCCCAGAUGGGAUUAGCUAGUAGGUGGGGUAACGGCUCACCUAGGCGACGAUCCCUAGCUGGUCUGAGAGGAUGACCAGCCACACUGGAACUGAGACACGGUCCAGACUCCUACGGGAGGCAGCAGUGGGGAAUAUUGCACAAUGGGCGCAAGCCUGAUGCAGCCAUGCCGCGUGUAUGAAGAAGGCCUUCGGGUUGUAAAGUACUUUCAGCGGGGAGGAAGGGAGUAAAGUUAAUACCUUU
This 473-nucleotide ribosomal RNA is filed under the name Escherichia coli. Its description in RNAcentral is "bacterial SSU rRNA". It matches the Rfam family "Bacterial small subunit ribosomal RNA", at positions 1 to 470 of the family's 1533-position model. Lineage: Bacteria; Pseudomonadati; Pseudomonadota; Gammaproteobacteria; Enterobacterales; Enterobacteriaceae. The record is from RNAcentral.